AUUGAACGCUGGCGGCAGGCCUAACACAUGCAAGUCGAACGAGUGGCGGACGUGUGAGUAAUGUCUGUGAAACUGCCUGAUGGAGGGGGUUAACUAUUGGAAACGGUAGCUAAUACCGCAUACCAUCGGAUGUUCCCCGAGGGGCUUAGCAAGUAGGUGGGGUAACGGCUCACCUAGGCGACGAUCCCUAGCUGGUCUGAGAGGAUGACCAGCCACACUGGAACUGAGACACGGGACAGACGCCUACGGGAGGCAGCAGUGGGGAAUAUUGCACAAAGGGCGCAAGCCUGAAGAAGCCAAGCCGCGUGUAUGAAGAAGGCCUUCGGGUUGUAAAGUACUUUCAGCGAGGAGGCGUUACUCGCAGAAGAAGCGCCGGCUAACUCCGUGCCAGCAGCCGCGGUAAUAC
Molecule: ribosomal RNA, 406 nt
Filed under: uncultured bacterium
Lineage: Bacteria
Description: partial 16S ribosomal RNA
Rfam family: Bacterial small subunit ribosomal RNA
Source: RNAcentral